GGCGGCAGGCCUAACACAUGCAAGUCGAACGGUAACAGGAAGAAGCUUGCUUCUUUGCUGACGAGUGGCGGACGGGUGAGUAAUGUCUGGGAAACUGCCUGAUGGAGGGGGAUAACUACUGGAAACGGUAGCUAAUACCGCAUAACGUCGCAAGACCAAAGAGGGGGACCUUCGGGCCUCUUGCCAUCGGAUGUGCCCAGAUGGGAUUAGCUAGUAGGUGGGGUAAAGGCUCACCUAGGCGACGAUCCCUAGCUGGUCUGAGAGGAUGACCAGCCACACUGGAACUGAGACACGGUCCAGACUCCUACGGGAGGCAGCAGUGGGGAAUAUUGCACAAUGGGCGCAAGCCUGAUGCAGCCAUGCCGCGUGUAUGAAGAAGGCCUUCGGGUUGUAAAGUACUUUCAGCGGGGAGGAAGGGAGUAAAGUUAAUACCUUUGCUCAUUGACGUUACCCGCAGAAGAAGCACCGGCUAACUCCGUGCCAGCAGCCGCGGUAAUACGGAGGGUGCAAGCGUUAAUCGGAAUUACUGGGCGUAAAGCGCACGCAGGCGGUUUGUUAAGUCAGAUGUGAAAUCCCCGGGCUCAACCUGGGAACUGCAUCUGAUACUGGCAAGCUUGAGUCUCGUAGAGGGGGGUAGAAUUCCAGGUGUAGCGGUGAAAUGCGUAGAGAUCUGGAGGAAUACCGGUGGCGAAGGCGGCCCCCUGGACGAAGACUGACGCUCAGGUGCGAAAGCGUGGGGGGCAAACAGGAUUAGAUACCCUGGUAGUCCACGCCGUAAACGAUGUCGACUUGGAGGUUGUGCCCUUGAGGCGUGGCUUCCGGAGCUAACGCGUUAAGUCGACCGCCUGGGGAGUACGGCCGCAAGGUUAAAACUCAAAUGAAUUGACGGGGGCCCGCACAAGCGGUGGAGCAUGUGGUUUAAUUCGAUGCAACGCGAAGAACCUUACCUGGUCUUGACAUCCACAGAACUUUCCAGAGAUGGAUUGGUGCCUUCGGGAACUGUGAGACAGGUGCUGCAUGGCUGCCGUCAGCUCGUGUUGUGAAAUGUUGGGUUAAGUCCCGCAACGGGCGCAACCCUUAUCCUUUGUUGCCAGCGGUCCGGCCGGGAACUCAAAGGAGACUGCCAGUGAUAAACUGGAGGAAGGUGGGGAUGACGUCAAGUCAUCAUGGCCCUUACGACCAGGGCUACACACGUGCUACAAUGGCGCAUACAAAGAGAAGCGACCUCGCGAGAGCAAGCGGACCUCAUAAAGUGCGUCGUAGUCCGGAUUGGAGUCUGCAACUCGACUCCAUGAAGUCGGAAUCGCUAGUAAUCGUGGAUCAGAAUGCCACGGUGAAUACGUUCCCGGGCCUUGUACACACCGCCCGUCACACCAUGGGAGUGGGUUGCAAAAGAAGUAGGUAGCUUAACCUUCGGGAGGGCGCUUACCACUUUGUGAUUCAUGACUGGGGUGAAGUC
Molecule: ribosomal RNA, 1459 nt
Filed under: uncultured organism
Description: 16S ribosomal RNA
Rfam family: Bacterial small subunit ribosomal RNA
Source: RNAcentral